RNAcentral lists this ribosomal RNA (305 nucleotides) under uncultured bacterium. Its description in RNAcentral is "bacterial SSU rRNA". It matches the Rfam family "Bacterial small subunit ribosomal RNA", at positions 338 to 643 of the family's 1533-position model. The record is from RNAcentral.
CCUACGGGGGGCAGCAGUGGGGAAUAUUGCACAAUGGGGGAAACCCUGAUGCAGCGACGCCGCGUGAGUGAAGAAGUAUUUCGGUACGUAAAGCUCUAUCAGCAGGGAAGAAAUAAAGUCCUUUGGACUUUGGACGGUACCUGACUAAGAAGCCCCGGCUAACUACGUGCCAGCAGCCGCGGUAAUACGUAGGGGGCAAGCGUUAUCCGGAUUUACUGGGUGUAAAGGGAGCGUAGACGGCAGGGCAAGUCUGGAGUGAAAGCCCGGGGCCCAACCCCGGGACUGCUUUGGAAACUGCCAUGCUA